RNAcentral lists this long non-coding RNA (964 nucleotides) under Ricinus communis (castor bean). RNAcentral describes it as "long non-coding RNA (RCOM_LNC003679)". Lineage: Eukaryota; Viridiplantae; Streptophyta; Magnoliopsida; Malpighiales; Euphorbiaceae. The record is from RNAcentral.
CUGUGUGUCUUCCUUCUCCGCUUUCAGAUAGCAUUGUCAGUCAUUGAUGCGAGAAUCUUGUUUAGAAUUUCUUUGUGGAACAAGAAAGAAAGGACUUGACUAACGACAUUCAUUCUCGCUUAAGCUCUUCGUUCGGUCUUUGUCUAUCGCGAUCAGUCUCUCUUAACUCAUACUGACAAAAGUCAUUCAAAACGUACUUCCUGACCAAGCAGUUGGGAUUGACUGAGAGAACUACUAGAAAAAAUACUAAUCCCAAGCCCUUCGACAAAGCACACUGCACGAGGAAGAGCUUAAGCGGAAUGAGUUUGACAGUGUCGGACAGGGAUAUCGUUUUCUUUUCUCAAAUAUAUUUCAUAUAUGGUACUCUUGGCUUCGCACUAAACCGAUCGUGAUAAAGCUUCACAUGUUGGCAUUCCACCUGUGCUUCACACUCAAAAAAGUAGGUAUGGAGGGAGGGUGGGAAAGGAACAAGCUUCAAAGAAGCAAACAUUAGAACAUUCAUAGCUUGGUCGUUGUUCGCCUAUCUAUCUCUAGAAUAGCAUGAUAUCGGUCCUAGUCCCACCUAUCCGUAAGAGGACUAGCGCUAUGCCUUCUGUCAAACAGCCCAUUUUCCUCUAUGAUCUGGGUCUCAAAUCAAGAAAGUUGUAGCUCUCCCCCCUAGUGGCAAACCUUAUGAACCUCUUUUCCUUACGGAUUGGGGUCUCAGAUCGAAAAAGUUUUCACUCAUAUAGCGGCGAUAAGGAGUUGAGGGAGUUGAAAACUUCCAGAGCAGCCAACUCAGCUCUUUUUUUUUUUUUUUUAUUUAAUUUAGAGUGAUGGCUUGACAGCCCUUGAACCUAGUAGGGGCAUGUUGAAAGACUUUAUUAUAUCCAUCUAGUCCUUGCUUGGCUUUCCUAAAUAGUGUCAGUCAAAAGUCAGUGCUUUGAAUCGAACGUACGCUCGUUGAAUAGAGGAAAACCGCAGG